RNAcentral lists this long non-coding RNA (1294 nucleotides) under Neodiprion lecontei (redheaded pine sawfly). RNAcentral describes it as "uncharacterized LOC124293078". Lineage: Eukaryota; Metazoa; Arthropoda; Insecta; Hymenoptera; Diprionidae. The record is from RNAcentral.
UCUCGAACUACUCAGUGAUGUGCUAAAUCAUCGUACAAAUCGUACAAUUUGGUCCCUGCGUAAAAUACGCUUUGGUCCCUACGCUCUGUAAAUGGAAUUGGUGAAACACUUCGAAUAUUGCACGGUCAUUGCAUAGUAAACAUAUUUAAUAACAGCUACACAACAAACUUGUUUCAUCGAUCACUAAUAAUAAAAUGUUCCAAAUCACGUGUGAGUCGUAUUAUGUACACGGGCUCUCCGUCUGGCUUCAGCCAGGUUUAGCCAACUAUAAGGCCCAUUUGGCGGCUUAAAAGAAGUAAAUAAGGCCUUCCGGUAAACGGGACCUAACCGAAUCAGAGAAAAUUGUGGCAAGUGCUGUGCCGUUUUUUCCGUGAACAAGAUGUAGAAAACUUGAAGCGCUUUUCACUGGCUACAUUUGGUGCACAUUGAGUGCAAUUUUCCUAGGGUUUUGCUUAUGUGAUUAGUUGAAAGCUGGGAAAAUUGUACUCACUGCACACGUAAUGCAGUCAGUGAAAAACGCUAUUAAGCCGCUAUUUUGUACUCAAAUGCCGAGAAGAUAAUUCGAUUGGUUGCAGAGCGUUCGAAUUCGAUGAACCAAUCAAAAUUCCAAAAAUGAUGGAUCGAUUAUCAAAAUAGAGCAUGGACUGUUCAUUCUCUAUACUUUUUAUAGUACGCCUAAUGAAAGCAGAACACACGUGUAGCCAAUCUCAAUUUUUAUCGGACUCCGAUGGUCCUGCAGAAAAUUGAUGUAAAAGGAAAGCGCCCGUAUACACUGUCAGCCUUAGGUAAGGCUACCAGUUUAACAUGGGAUUUGGUAGAUUAAGAGAUACAGCAGUUACAUCCAUUACCGACCGCAGUACACAGCUUCUUAUAAAAAAUAACUGCAGCUUUCAAUGGUAAUUGGUCCAACUUUCCCCUUAAAUUCGACUUGGCCAGAAGCGGUAGUAGUGAAAAAUACAUAAAUUCGGAACUUUUCAGAUUUUCAAUAAAAUAUGAAGUUCGUAAACUGAAUUCUUUAUAGAAACUUUCUGGAAUUUCUUGAAAUACUUCAGGCCUGGAACAUCUUUUUCAUCACGAGGGAGAACGGAUUAGGGCAGUUGGUAAAGGGUGUGAGUUUCCCGGAGAACCCGAAAAAUAUUUUACCUGAGUAAGAUUGAUAUAAGUGGAACCAAAAAUUUGUGUAAAACUAAACGAAACGCUAAUUCUUAUUUUUUGUGAAAUUUCAUAAACAGAUUUAUAUCCCAUUACUCGUUGCAAUUUUAUCGUUCGUAUAUUAUUCUGCUUACAUAUUAUG